GGUGAGCUACAGGUGUACUGGCAGAGAGGCGGCGGCACCUGCUGAGCUGUGACUGGCCGCACCAGGUGCCUCCUCCUGGGUGAUUGGCUGCAGCCGAUGUCAGUCAGGCAGGGAAAAGCUCCUUUUUGUAUUCAAUAUGGACUGGAUGGAGGCCUCUCUACACACAGAGGUGCAGGUUGAAAAAUGUUUCACCAUUUGGGAAAGCUACAUAGACUCUCUACCUGCUGCCACUAAGUUCAAACCUGCUUUCGAAGCUGAAUGUUAUUGUGUAAUCCCCAGUACAGAUUUGACAGCUUUUGACUUUGCUGUCUCCGUCUAUUUAAGGUUGUGAGGCCUGACCGUUGUGUCCAGUGUUCAAUCGAUAUGGAACAACAAAAAGGAAGAAGAAUGAAAAUUGGAUGGUGGCUCUGCUCUGUUUUCUCUUGCUAUUGGAGGAUCCUGUAGUUUCCCUAAUGAACAUUGAACUCUUCGAUUUCCUGUGAUGUUUAUGACAUAUUCUCCUAUAAAUGUACUUUGCAAUGAUUACCAUGCUUGACUUAUCUGUUAUCUAUUCUACUACCAUAUAAUUCUUGUAUUUUACCUAAUGUUUGUAUUAGCAUCGUCAAUUACUUCAAUAAACACAAUU
Molecule: long non-coding RNA, 625 nt
Organism: Pseudophryne corroboree (corroboree frog)
Lineage: Eukaryota; Metazoa; Chordata; Amphibia; Anura; Myobatrachidae
Exons: 3
Source: RefSeq, a predicted model, not a curated record